CCGCUUCGGGGCCGGGGACUGAGGUGGCGGCGCUUCCUGCUGCCGCGGGUCGCGCUCUGUUUUUAAAAACUCUUCUGGCGGCGUUUACCCCCACGCACCUCCUCAGAGGCGACUGAUUAGGAUGCCAUCAGAGCACCAAAGAAGGGAGUGGCAGCCAUCUUCGCAGAGGCAGCCGGAUGACUGGGAGGAAUUUGGACUCUGAAGUAGAGAAGGCUUGCUUUCCAUGCCUCUCAUCUUCGGCCGUGAACCUGAUGCCUCUGAGCAUCUGUGCAAUGGGGGCUUCGGGAAGCUGUUAGGGUUUGUUGAGAUAACAUUUGCACCAUUGUAUUAAUUUUCUGUGGCUGCCUCGGCAACGUACAACAGAGAGCAUAAAACAGCA
Molecule: long non-coding RNA, 379 nt
Organism: Myotis davidii
Lineage: Eukaryota; Metazoa; Chordata; Mammalia; Chiroptera; Vespertilionidae
Exons: 2
Source: RefSeq, a predicted model, not a curated record